RNAcentral lists this ribosomal RNA (465 nucleotides) under Vreelandella stevensii. RNAcentral describes it as "partial 16S ribosomal RNA". It matches the Rfam family "Bacterial small subunit ribosomal RNA", at positions 338 to 795 of the family's 1533-position model. Lineage: Bacteria; Pseudomonadati; Pseudomonadota; Gammaproteobacteria; Oceanospirillales; Halomonadaceae. The record is from RNAcentral.
CCUACGGGGGGCAGCAGUGGGGAAUAUUGGACAAUGGGCGAAAGCCUGAUCCAGCCAUGCCGCGUGUGUGAAGAAGGCCUUCGGGUUGUAAAGCACUUUCAGUGGGGAAGAAAGCCUUGGGGCUAAUACCCUCGAGGAAGGACAUCACCCACAGAAGAAGCACCGGCUAACUCCGUGCCAGCAGCCGCGGUAAUACGGAGGGUGCGAGCGUUAAUCGGAAUUACUGGGCGUAAAGCGCGCGUAGGCGGUCUGAUAAGCCGGUUGUGAAAGCCCCGGGCUCAACCUGGGAACGGCGUCCGGAACUGUCAGGCUAGAGUGCAGGAGAGGAAGGUAGAAUUCCCGGUGUAGCGGUGAAAUGCGUAGAGAUCGGGAGGAAUACCAGUGGCGAAGGCGGCCUUCUGGACUGACACUGACGCUGAGGUGCGAAAGCGUGGGUAGCAAACAGGAUUAGAUACCCCUGUAGUC